GCCAUCAUUCAGUUGGGCGACUUUAGAGAGACUGCCGGUGGUUAAGCCGGAGGAAGGUGGGGAGUGACGUCAAGUCCUCAUGGCCUUUAUGUCUAGGGCUACACACGUGCUACAAUGGGUGGUACAAAGAGCAGCUAACUCGCGAGAGUAUGCAAAUCUCAAAAAGCCAUCCUCAGUUCGGAUUGGAGUCUGCAACUCGACUCCAUGAAGUUGGAAUCGCUAGUAAUCGCGGAUCAGCAUGCCGCGGUGAAUACGUUCCCGGGCCUU
Molecule: ribosomal RNA, 267 nt
Filed under: uncultured Smithella sp.
Lineage: Bacteria; Pseudomonadati; Thermodesulfobacteriota; Syntrophia; Syntrophales; Smithellaceae
Description: partial 16S ribosomal RNA
Rfam family: Bacterial small subunit ribosomal RNA
Source: RNAcentral